Molecule: ribosomal RNA, 525 nt
Filed under: uncultured soil bacterium
Lineage: Bacteria
Description: bacterial SSU rRNA
Rfam family: Bacterial small subunit ribosomal RNA
Source: RNAcentral
GAGUUUGAUCCUGGCUCAGAUUGAACGCUAGCGGGAUGCCUUACACAUGCAAGUCGAACGGCAGCACGGACUUCGGUCUGGUGGCGAGUGGCGAACGGGUGAGUAAUGUAUCGGAACGUGCCCAGUAGCGGGGGAUAACUACGCGAAAGCGUAGCUAAUACCGCAUACGCCCUACGGGGGAAAGCAGGGGAUCGCAAGACCUUGCACUAUUGGAGCGGCCGAUAUCGGAUUAGCUAGUUGGUGGGGUAACGGCUCACCAAGGCGACGAUCCGUAGCUGGUUUGAGAGGACGACCAGCCACACUGGGACUGAGACACGGCCCAGACUCCUACGGGAGGCAGCAGUGGGGAAUUUUGGACAAUGGGGGAAACCCUGAUCCAGCCAUCCCGCGUGUGCGAUGAAGGUCUUCGGGUUGUAAAGCACUUUUGGCAGGAAAGAAACGUCAUGGGUUAAUACCCCGUGAAACUGACGGUACCUGCAGAAUAAGCACCGUUCUUAAAGGUCGUGCCAGCAGCCGCGGUAAUAC